UCUAGAACUCGAGAUAUGGGCUGAACACUGAAUAGUGUCUGGACUGCAAGACAAAUUUCGACUUCUCCGUUGUUGCUAAGAUUCCAAACAACAGAAUUGAAUCUUGCACUCCCAUGAAUGUUUUAGGCCUAUGUCUUAGCUUUCUAAC
This is a non-coding RNA of Populus trichocarpa (black cottonwood), 148 nucleotides long. Lineage: Eukaryota; Viridiplantae; Streptophyta; Magnoliopsida; Malpighiales; Salicaceae. The record is from Rfam.